AGCAUCUAAGCACGAAGCACGCUCCAAGAUUAGAAUUCUUCGGCCUUGAGCCGACACAACUCCUGGGAGAUUACCAGGUUGAUAGGCUGCAGGUGUAAGUACAGUAAUGUAUUCAGCCGAGCAGUACUAAUUGUUGUGCGCCUUU
Molecule: ribosomal RNA, 145 nt
Filed under: bacterium
Lineage: Bacteria
Description: partial 23S ribosomal RNA
Rfam family: Bacterial large subunit ribosomal RNA
Source: RNAcentral